GCCAAGACUCAGACUUGCUUCUGGGCUCUGUGCUCAUUUCCAUCUCUUCCUAGGAGCCAGUUAUUUGGCAAGAAUGUAAUUGCAGGCAAGCAGCUGGAAGGAAAGAACAUUUUGGAAGGACUAGGCGUAUACAAAAACCUGAAAAAAGCAGAGGGAACACGAGCUGGGGGCACAUUCUUCAUCUAACAACAGAGUUCCUUCCGGGUGAAAUUGCUAAUCAAAGAUAAAAGCUAUACAAACCUCUGGGCACUCAGCGGAAUUGAAGUCCUCAAAAGCACUACUCAAGUCAAAUUUACUUUACCAAAAUUAUAUUUUGGCUGCUUCCAAUGAUCACUCUCGACGUUUCGGCUCUAAGUGGUAGUCCUUUCUGUUUUCUGCACCACACCUUUUUUCACUGGACCAGCUGGAGCUAACUAAUCUUUUGAGCUAACCAUUUUUAAAGGUUUAUGGUGGGACCACUGGUCAUUCUUAUAUAUUAUCUUCGAACUUGAGCACUAGUACGGUCUCUGGCAGCCCUUUUUCUUGUGUUCCACACUAAUGGGCUAGAGAAUUCUGUUUUUCUUAUUUAUUGUGUGCAUCUAAAGGUGAUGUAGGAC
RNAcentral lists this long non-coding RNA (596 nucleotides) under Vulpes vulpes (red fox). RNAcentral's name for it is "lncRNA (ENSVVUG00000011595.1)". Lineage: Eukaryota; Metazoa; Chordata; Mammalia; Carnivora; Canidae. The record is from RNAcentral.